This 146-nucleotide unclassified non-coding RNA is filed under the name soil metagenome. RNAcentral's name for it is "partial internal transcribed spacer 1". The record is from RNAcentral.
CCGAGUUUACAACUCCCAAACCCCUGUGAACAUACCUUAUGUUGCCUCGGCGGAUCAGCCCGCGCCCCGUAAAAAGGGACGGCCCGCCGCAGGAACCCUAAACUCUGUUUUUAGUGGAACUUCUGAGUAUAAAAACAAAUAAAUCA